AUGACUGGCGGCGGCCUACACAUGCAAGUCGAGCGGAUGAAAGGAGCUUGCUCCUGGAUUCAGCGGCGGACGGGUGAGUAAUGCCUAGGAAUCUGCCUGGUAGUGGGGGACAACGUUUCGAAAGGAACGCUAAUACCGCGUACGUCCUACGGGAGAAAGCAGGGGACCUUCGGGCCUUGCGCUAUCAGAUGAGCCUAGGUCGGAUUAGCUAGUUGGUGAGGUAAUGGCUCACCAAGGCGACGAUCCGUAACUGGUCUGAGAGGAUGAUCAGUCACACUGGAACUGAGACACGGUCCAGACUCCUACGGGAGGCAGCAGUGGGGAAUAUUGGACAAUGGGCGAAAGCCUGAUCCAGCCAUGCCGCGUGUGUGAAGAAGGUCUUCGGAUUGUAAAGCACUUUAAGUUGGGAGGAAGGGUUGUAGAUUAAUACUCUGCAAUUUUGACGUUACCGACAGAAUAAGCACCGGCUAACUCUGUGCCAGCAGCCGCGGUAAU
This 495-nucleotide ribosomal RNA is filed under the name uncultured bacterium. RNAcentral's name for it is "bacterial SSU rRNA". It matches the Rfam family "Bacterial small subunit ribosomal RNA", at positions 36 to 524 of the family's 1533-position model. The record is from RNAcentral.